This 442-nucleotide ribosomal RNA is filed under the name uncultured bacterium. RNAcentral's name for it is "partial 16S ribosomal RNA". It matches the Rfam family "Bacterial small subunit ribosomal RNA", at positions 338 to 795 of the family's 1533-position model. The record is from RNAcentral.
CCUACGGGUGGCAGCAGUGGGGAAUAUUGGGCAAUGGGCGCAAGCCUGACCCAGCAACGCCGCGUGAAGGAAGACGGCUUUCGGGUUGUAAACUACUUUUAUGAGGGACGAGCAGAAUACGGUUCCUAUUGAAUAAGCCACGGCUAACUCUGUGCAUGCAGCCGCGGUAAUACGUAGGUGGCAAGCGUUGUCCGGAUUUACUGGGUGUAAAGGGCGUGCAGCCGGGAAGACAAGUCAGAUGUGAAAUCCUGCGGCUCAACCGCGGAACUGCAUUUGACACUGUUUUUCUUGAGUACCGGAGAGGUCAUCGGAAUUCCAUGUGUAGCAGUGAAAUGCGUAGAUAUAAGGAAGAACACCAGUGGCGAAGGCGGAUGACUGGACGGCAACUGACGGUGAGGCGCGAAAGCGUGGGGAGCAAACAGGAUUAGAUACCCGGGUAGUC